RNAcentral lists this ribosomal RNA (761 nucleotides) under Prevotella melaninogenica. Its description in RNAcentral is "bacterial SSU rRNA". It matches the Rfam family "Bacterial small subunit ribosomal RNA", at positions 28 to 776 of the family's 1533-position model. The record is from RNAcentral. Lineage: Bacteria; Pseudomonadati; Bacteroidota; Bacteroidia; Bacteroidales; Prevotellaceae.
GAUGAACGCUAGCUACAGGCUUAACACAUGCAAGUCGAGGGGAAACGGCAUUUAGUGCUUGCACUGAGUGGACGUCGACCGGCGCACGGGUGAGUAACGCGUAUCCAACCUACCCAUUACUGUGGGAUAACCUGCCGAAAGGCAGACUAAUACCGCAUGGUCUUCGAUGACGGCAUCAGAUUUGAAGUAAAGAUUUAUCGGUAAUGGAUGGGGAUGCGUCUGAUUAGCUUGUUGGCGGGGUAACGGCCCACCAAGGCGACGAUCAGUAGGGGUUCUGAGAGGAAGGUCCCCCACAUUGGAACUGAGACACGGUCCAAACUCCUACGGGAGGCAGCAGUGAGGAAUAUUGGUCAAUGGGCGAGAGUCUGAACCAGCCAAGUAGCGUGCAGGAUGACGGCCCUAUGGGUUGUAAACUGCUUUUGUAUGGGGAUAAAGUCAAUCACGUGUGAUUGUUUGCAGGUACCAUACGAAUAAGGACCGGCUAAUUCCGUGCCAGCAGCCGCGGUAAUACGGAAGGUCCGGGCGUUAUCCGGAUUUAUUGGGUUUAAAGGGAGCGUAGGCCGGAGAUUAAGUGUGUUGUGAAAUGUAGACGCUCAACGUCUGACUUGCAGCGCAUACUGGUUUCCUUGAGUACGCACAACGUUGGCGGAAUUCGUCGUGUAGCGGUGAAAUGCUUAGAUAUGACGAAGAGCUCCGAUUGCGAAGGCAGCUGACGGGAGCGCAACUGACGCUUAAGCUCGAAGGUGCGGGUAUCGAACAGG